This 486-nucleotide ribosomal RNA is filed under the name uncultured bacterium. RNAcentral describes it as "bacterial SSU rRNA". It matches the Rfam family "Bacterial small subunit ribosomal RNA", at positions 24 to 518 of the family's 1533-position model. The record is from RNAcentral.
UCAGGAUGAACGCUGGCGGCGUGCCUAACACAUGCAAGUCGAGCGAGAUAGGUUGAAGCCUAGCCGAUUCCGUAUCGUUAGCGGCGGGAUGGGUGAGUAACACGUGGGUAACCUGCCCUGUACUGGGGGAUAACAGCUGGAAACGGCUGUUAAUACCGCAUAUGCGCACGGAGCCGCAUGGCCCUGGGCGGAAAGAUUCAUCGGUACAGGAUGGGCCCGCGCCGGAUUAACUUGUUGGCGGGGUAACGGCCCACCAAGGUGAUGAUCCGUAGCCGACCUGAGAGGGUGACCGGCCACAUUGGGACUGAGACACGGCCCAAACUCCUACGGGAGGCAGCAGUGGGGGAUAUUGCACAAUGGGGGAAACCCUGAUGCAGCGACGCCGCGUGAAGGAAGAAGUAUUUCGGUAUGUAAACUUCUAUCAGCGGGGAAGAAGAUGACGGUACCCGCACAAGAAGCCCCGGCUAACUACGUGCCAGCAGCGGC